GAUGAACGCUGGCGGCAUGGCUAAGGCAUGCAAGUCGAAUGGUUUAGCUUGCUAAACCAUGGCAAACGGGAGAGUAACACAUUGGUAAUCUACCCAAGGACGAGAAUAACCCGAAGAAAUUCGGAAUAAUACUCGAUAAUAGUAAAGAACACAUGUUCUUUACUUAAAGUUCCGGCGCCUUGGGAGGAGCCUAUGGCUUAUCAGCUUGUUGGUGAGGUAAAAGCUCACCAAGGCUAUGACGAGUAGCGGGUGUGAGAGCAUGGCCCGUCUCACUGGGACUGAGACACUGCCCAG
This 294-nucleotide ribosomal RNA is filed under the name uncultured bacterium. RNAcentral describes it as "partial 16S ribosomal RNA". It matches the Rfam family "Bacterial small subunit ribosomal RNA", at positions 28 to 334 of the family's 1533-position model. The record is from RNAcentral.